UACGAAGGGUGCAAACGUUGCUCGGAAUUACUGGGCGUAAAGGGCUCGUAGGCGGCCAACUAAGUCCGACGUGAAAUCCCAAAGCUUAACUUUGGAACUGCGUCGGAUACUGGAUGGCUUGAAUUCGGGAGAGGGAUGCAGAAUUCCAGGUGUAGCGGUGAAAUGCGUAGAUAUCUGGAGGAAUACCGGUGGCGAAGGCGGCAUCCUGGACCGACAUUGACGCUGAGGAGCGAAAGCUAGGGGAGCAAACGGG
RNAcentral lists this ribosomal RNA (253 nucleotides) under uncultured bacterium. RNAcentral describes it as "partial 16S ribosomal RNA". It matches the Rfam family "Bacterial small subunit ribosomal RNA", at positions 524 to 776 of the family's 1533-position model. The record is from RNAcentral.